AUGAACGCUGGCGGCGUGCCUAAUACAUGCAAGUCGAGCGGACGGACGAGAAGCUUGCUUCUCUGAUGUUAGCGGCGGACGGGUGAGUAACACGUGGAUAACCUACCUAUAAGACUGGGAUAACUUCGGGAAACCGGAGCUAAUACCGGAUAAUAUUUUGAACCGCAUGGUUCAAAAGUGAAAGACGGUCUUGCUGUCACUUAUAGAUGGAUCCGCGCUGCAUUAGCUAGUUGGUAAGGUAACGGCUUACCAAGGCAACGAUGCAUAGCCGACCUGAGAGGUUGAUCGCCCAAACUGGAACUUAGACACGGUCCAGACUCCUACGGAAGGCCGCAGUAGGAAAUCUUCCGCAAUGGGCGAAAGACUGACGGAGCAACGCCGCGUGAGUGAUGAAGGUCUUCGGAUCGUAAAACUCUGUUAUUAGGGAAGAACAUAUGUGUAAGUAACUGUGCACAUCUUGACGGUACCUAAUCAGAAAGCCACGGCUAACUACGUG
RNAcentral lists this ribosomal RNA (496 nucleotides) under uncultured bacterium. RNAcentral's name for it is "partial 16S ribosomal RNA". It matches the Rfam family "Bacterial small subunit ribosomal RNA", at positions 29 to 507 of the family's 1533-position model. The record is from RNAcentral.